This 521-nucleotide ribosomal RNA is filed under the name Salmonella enterica. RNAcentral describes it as "partial 23S ribosomal RNA". It matches the Rfam family "Bacterial large subunit ribosomal RNA", at positions 1023 to 1547 of the family's 2925-position model. The record is from RNAcentral. Lineage: Bacteria; Pseudomonadati; Pseudomonadota; Gammaproteobacteria; Enterobacterales; Enterobacteriaceae.
CAACCCAGACCGCCAGCUAAGGUCCCAAAGUCAUAGUUAAGUGGGAAACGAUGUGGGAAGGCCCAGACAGCCAGGAUGUUGGCUUAGAAGCAGCCAUCAUUUAAAGAAAGCGUAAUAGCUCACUGGUCGAGUCGGCCUGCGCGGAAGAUGUAACGGGGCUAAACUAUGCACCGAAGCUGCGGCAGCGACACUAUGUGUUGUUGGGUAGGGGAGCGUUCUGUAAGCCUGUGAAGGUGUGUCGUGAGGCAUGCUGGAGGUAUCAGAAGUGCGAAUGCUGACAUAAGUAACGAUAAAGCGGGUGAAAAGCCCGCUCGCCGGAAGACCAAGGGUUCCUGUCCAACGUUAAUCGGGGCAGGGUGAGUCGACCCCUAAGGCGAGGCCGAAAGGCGUAGUCGAUGGGAAACGGGUUAAUAUUCCCGUACUUGGUGUUACUGCGAAGGGGGGACGGAGAAGGCUAUGUUGGCCGGGCGACGGUUGUCCCGGUUUAAGCGUGUAGGUGUGUGUUCCAGGUAAAUCCGGUU